AACGCGAAGAACCUUACCUGGGCUCGAAGCGCAGUGGAAUCCGGUGGAAACAUCGGCGCCCCUUAAAAGGCUGCUGCGGAGGUGCUGCAUGGCUGUCGUCAGCUCGUGUCGUGAGAUGUUGGGUUAAGUCCCGCAACGAGCGCAACCCUCGUCGAAUGUUGCCAACAUUUAGUUGGGCACUCAUUCGAGACCGCCGUUGAUAAGACGGAGGAAGGUGGGGAUGACGUCAAGUCAGCAUGGCCCUUACGUCCUGGGCCACACACGUGCUACAAUGGCCGGUACAACGGGCAGCCAGACCGCGAGGUCGAGCUAAUCCCUUAAAACCGGUCUCAGUUCGGAUUGUAGGCUGCAACUCGCCUACAUGAAGUCGGAAUCGCUAGUAACCGCAGAUCAGCUACGCUGCGGUGAAUACGUUCCCGGGCCUUGUACACACCGGAGUGC
RNAcentral lists this ribosomal RNA (441 nucleotides) under uncultured bacterium. Its description in RNAcentral is "bacterial SSU rRNA". It matches the Rfam family "Bacterial small subunit ribosomal RNA", at positions 958 to 1398 of the family's 1533-position model. The record is from RNAcentral.